GGAACACUGUACCGCUUAUGUCGGUGACCGAGCUCUCCCUAUAAAUAGUGCUCCACCCCAUUUCUUGUCAGUUCCGUUAGGAAUCUUCUCGACUUGGGUCGUUGCGUUCGUCGCCUGCUCCGGCGUUCGGGGUUUCCUUGUUCCCUCCCUUCAUCGGCCAAGAAGACGGCGAUCGAGGCUGUGGCUCAAGAAAUUCGCUGAUCUUUCCUUCAUCCGAGAACAUGGCGCGGGAUUCAGAUAAAACUCUGAACCUUCUGUUGCGAUUUUCCUUCUUUUUGCGCUUGAAAAUCUAUUCGUAGUAGUUCGACAUUGUUCUCUGAUAUUUCUGGACGGAUCUUGUUGUGAUACACGAUGAUUUGUAGAUCUGGCGAUUGUACAACAUCUUGAACAAUUACUGAUCUUUUUUUUAUUAUUGAGGUCGCAGAUCACCAAUUGUAGCGUACUCUGCGAGAUCAUUGAGGUCCAUUACGUUAAAUUUUGCUUAGUGUAUAUUCUUUUAGGUUUUGCGGAUUGUUCUGGCCAUCUGUUAAGGAAUUUUCUUAUGGUUUGUAGUUGUAUGGAUAGUUUGGUAUUGGUGGGAAAUUCUGUUUUUAGUUCUAUGAUUUGUAUUGAGGGUUGUCUUUGUGUUGAGUUGAUUGCAUCUCAUAUGUAUGUGUAGGACCAGAGCUUUUUCUUUACCAUGGGUGCUCCAUUUUGUGUCCUUGUUUUGGCAUAUGGGAAUCUGCUGCAUCCUUCUUGCUUUUGGAGUGCUGUUUGGUAAUGUGCAAUCGAUUCGCUUGAAUUUAUGCUUUUGAUUUGCAAAUCUUUAGGUAUCGUAAGUAGAUCCUGUUGUUUUUUGUUUAUUUGAGAAGAAAUAUGCAUUCCUGAUCAUUCUGAUGGCUAUCAAAUUGUGUUCACUUUCUUCUUCAGUUAGUAAGUCAAAGAAAUCACAGGUACGCUGUUCGCUAACUUGGUCUUUAUAAAGGGAAUGGUGUGAUUCCUACACCUGUUUUUGAUUUGGUUUAAUUGCAGUCAUUUCAAGACUGUUGUCAGAAGCUGUCCAUUGAUGAAAUUUGUCCUGUUAUAUUACUUAUUCUACUGAGGCAUAGCAUUCCAAUGAUUAGGAAGCAAAUGUUACGACAAGCUUGAAAAGCAAAGGUUACGUUGAGAAGCAAAUGGUACGACAUACAUGAAAUAUAUUUAGGAUUAGGAAGCUCGCGACAUACAUAAAAAGUGAAUUAGGAUUAGAAAAUUCUCUCUUUUAUAUGAGUGGAACGGAUUGUCGAAAAUGAGAGCAAUACACAUACAGAUUGAUUUCUAAACCGAUGCUGGUUUUAAAAUAACAACAUUUGUUGAUUUAUUUAGCCACACUUUUCUAAUCAUAUGGUCAACGAGCAGUUGUUCUGACUGUUUCUAACCACAAAACAAAUCUGAUGUGGUACUUGCAGAAUGGAUUUACAUGUGAUAACCGCACCAGCUAAUGGAGGAGCAAAGGAUGAGAUGGCUUGCGGUCAACCUUACAGCGGAGCAGCCUGAUGCACAGAUUAGAUUAGAAGCUUGCGCACAGAUAUACACACAACCUACACUGAAUGAUGGAUCAUCGACAACUCUGUGACCAUUCUACAGCACUCGUAGAUUGGGAGAGUGUACCUAAUUGAAUGCCAUUCACCUUGUGCCUCCACUGUUGCCAGCUGCAGAAAACAACCGACACCAGACACCAUACAUAAUCUACCAGGUAAAUAAAGGAAGAAGCAGGAUGUACUUUGUUCCAUUCUAACCUUGCUCCAACUGUUGCUCGAU
Molecule: non-coding RNA, 1779 nt
Organism: Musa acuminata subsp. malaccensis (wild Malaysian banana)
Lineage: Eukaryota; Viridiplantae; Streptophyta; Magnoliopsida; Zingiberales; Musaceae
Source: RefSeq, a predicted model, not a curated record